RNAcentral lists this ribosomal RNA (253 nucleotides) under uncultured bacterium. RNAcentral describes it as "partial 16S ribosomal RNA". It matches the Rfam family "Bacterial small subunit ribosomal RNA", at positions 524 to 776 of the family's 1533-position model. The record is from RNAcentral.
UACAGAGGUCCCAAGCGUUGUUCGGAUUCAUUGGGCGUAAAGCGCACGUAGGCGGAUUGUUAAGUCGGGGGUGAAAUCCUGGAGCUCAACUCCAGAACUGCCUUCGAUACUGGCGAUCUUGAGUCCGGGAGAGGUGAGUGGAACUCCGAGUGUAGAGGUGAAAUUCGUAGAUAUUCGGAAGAACACCAGUGGCGAAGGCGGCUCACUGGCCCGGUACUGACGCUGAGGUGCGAAAGCGUGGGGAGCAAACAGG